GCGUACGUGGUGCAGAGGUAGCAUGGUACCCUCCCAAGGUAUUGGCCCGGGUUCGAUUCCCGGCGUUCGCG
Non-coding RNA from Caulochytrium protostelioides, 71 nucleotides. The record is from the annotation of a GenBank genome assembly. NCBI's taxonomy places the organism in Eukaryota, Fungi, Chytridiomycota, Caulochytriomycetes, Caulochytriales, Caulochytriaceae.